Molecule: ribosomal RNA, 254 nt
Filed under: uncultured bacterium
Lineage: Bacteria
Description: partial 16S ribosomal RNA
Rfam family: Bacterial small subunit ribosomal RNA
Source: RNAcentral
UACGGAGGGGGCUAGCGUUGUUCGGAAUUACUGGGCGUAAAGCGCACGUAGGCGGCUUUGUAAGUUAGAGGUGAAAGCCCGGGGCUCAACUCCGGAAUUGCCUUUAAGACUGCAUCGCUAGAAUUGUGGAGAGGUAAGUGGAAUUCCAGGUGGAGCGGUGAAAUGCGUAGAGAUCUGGAAGAACACCGAAGGCGAAGGCAGCGUUCUGGGAAGCAACUGACGCUCAUGUGCGAAAGCCAGGGGAGCAAACGGGG